RNAcentral lists this ribosomal RNA (465 nucleotides) under uncultured bacterium. RNAcentral describes it as "bacterial SSU rRNA". It matches the Rfam family "Bacterial small subunit ribosomal RNA", at positions 32 to 489 of the family's 1533-position model. The record is from RNAcentral.
UGACGCUAGCGGCAGGCUUAAUACAUGCAAGUCGAGGGGCAGCAUGAAGUAGCAAUACUUUGAUGGCGACCGGCAAACGGGUGCGGAACACGUACACAACCUUCCUUUUAGUGGGGAAUAGCCCAGAGAAAUUUGGAUUAAUACCCCGUAACAUAACUGAGUGGCAUCACUCGGUUAUUAUAGCUUCGGCGCUAAAUGAUGGGUGUGCGUAUGAUUAGAUAGUUGGCGAGGUAACGGCUCACCAAGUCUACGAUCAUUAGCUGAUGUGAGAGCAUGAUCAGCCACACGGGCACUGAGACACGGGCCCGACUCCUACGGGAGGCAGCAGUAAGGAAUAUUGGUCAAUGGACGCAAGUCUGAACCAGCCAUGCCGCGUGAAGGAUUAAGGUCCUCUGGAUUGUAAACUUCUUUUAUCUGGGACGAAAAAAGGUCUUUCUAGACCCCUUGACGGUACCAGAUGAAUAA